This 463-nucleotide ribosomal RNA is filed under the name uncultured bacterium. RNAcentral describes it as "partial 16S ribosomal RNA". It matches the Rfam family "Bacterial small subunit ribosomal RNA", at positions 28 to 507 of the family's 1533-position model. The record is from RNAcentral.
GACGAACGCUGGCGGCGUGCUUAACACAUGCAAGUCGAACGGUGAACCUCUUCGGAGGGGAUCAGUGGCGAACGGGUGAGUAACACGUGGGCAACCUGCCCCCGGCUCUGGGAUAACUCCAAGAAAUUGGGGCUAAUACCGGAUGUUCACCGCUUCUCGCAUGGGUGGUGGUGGAAAGGGUUUCCGGCUGGGGGUGGGCCCGCGGCCUAUCAGCUUGUUGGUGGGGUAGUGGCCUACCAAGGCGACGUCGGGUAGCCGGCCUGGGAGGGUGACCGGCCACACUGGGACUGAGACACGGCCCAGACUCCUACGGGAGGCAGCAGUGGGGAAUAUUGCGCAGUGGGCGGAAGCCUGACGCAGCGACGCCGCGUGGGGGAUGACGGCCUUCGAGUUGUAAACCUCUUUCAGCAGGGACGAAGCGCAAGUGACGGUACCUGCAGAAGAAGCACCGGCCAACUACGUG